AUCGCUUCUCGGCCUUUUGGCUAAGAUCAAGUGUAGUAAAAAUCUGAGUUACAGGGUAACCCACCAACAUUAUAAAUCACCUACCUACUUAAUAUUCUAUGUUCAUUUUGCUUUAUUACCCUGU
This 124-nucleotide small nuclear RNA is filed under the name Erinaceus europaeus (western European hedgehog). RNAcentral describes it as "U2 spliceosomal RNA". It matches the Rfam family "U2 spliceosomal RNA". Rfam says of the family: U2 is a small nuclear RNA (snRNA) component of the spliceosome (involved in pre-mRNA splicing). Complementary binding between U2 snRNA (in an area lying towards the 5' end but 3' to hairpin I) and the branchpoint sequence (BPS) of the intron results the bulging out of an unpaired adenosine, on the BPS, which initiates a nucleophilic attack at the intronic 5' splice site, thus starting the first of two transesterification reactions that mediate splicing. The record is from Rfam by way of RNAcentral. Lineage: Eukaryota; Metazoa; Chordata; Mammalia; Eulipotyphla; Erinaceidae.